GCUUACGGCCACACCGCCUGGUUCACGCCCGAUCUCGUUUGAUCUCGGAAGCUAAGAUAGGUUGGGCCUGGUAAGUACUUGGAUGGAGACCGCCUGGGAAUACCAGGUGGUGUAGCUU
Molecule: ribosomal RNA, 118 nt
Filed under: Scophthalmus maximus (turbot)
Lineage: Eukaryota; Metazoa; Chordata; Actinopteri; Pleuronectiformes; Scophthalmidae
Source: RNAcentral